CAUAGGUUAAUGAGGCGAACCGGGGGAACUGAAACAUCUAAGUACCCCGAGGAAAAGAAAUCAACCGAGAUUCCCCCAGUAGCGGCGAGCGAACGGGGAGCAGCCCAGAGCCUGAAUCAGUGUGUGUGUUAGUGGAAGCGUCUGGAAAGGCGCGCGAUACAGGGUGACAGCCCCGUACACAAAAAUGCACAUACUGUGAGCUCGAUGAGUAGGGCGGGACACGUGGUAUCCUGUCUGAAUAUGGGGGGACCAUCCUCCAAGGCUAAAUACUCCUGACUGACCGAUAGUGAACCAGUACCGUGAGGGAAAGGCGAAAAGAACCCCGGCGAGGGGAGUGAAAAAGAACCUGAAACCGUGUACGUACAAGCAGUGGGAGCACGCUUAGGCGUGUGACUGCGUACCUUUUGUAUAAUGGGUCAGCGACUUAUAUUCUGUAGCAAGGUUAACCGAAUAGGGGAGCCGAAGGGAAACCGAGUCUUAACUGGGCGUUAAGUUGCAGGGUAUAGACCCGAAACCCGGUGAUCUAGCCAUGGGCAGGUUGAAGGUUGGGUAACACUAACUGGAGGACCGAACCGACUAAUGUUGAAAAAUUAGCGGAUGACUUGUGGCUGGGGGUGAAAGGCCAAUCAAACCGGGAGAUAGCUGGUUCUCCCCGAAAGCUAUUUAGGUAGCGCCUCGUGAAUUCAUCUCCGGGGGUAGAGCACUGUUUCGGCAAGGGGGUCAUCCCGACUUACCAACCCGAUGCAAACUGCGAAUACCGGAGAAUGUUAUCACGGGAGACACACGGCGGGUGCUAACGUCCGUCGUGAAGAGGGAAACAACCCAGACCGCCAGCUAAGGUCCCAAAGUCAUGGUUAAGUGGGAAACGAUGUGGGAAGGCCCAGACAGCCAGGAUGUUGGCUUAGAAGCAGCCAUCAUUUAAAGAAAGCGUAAUAGCUCACUGGUCGAGUCGGCCUGCGCGGAAGAUGUAACGGGGCUAAACCAUGCACCGAAGCUGCGGCAGCGACGCUGAUGCGUUGUUGGGUAGGGGAGCGUUCUGUAAGCCUGCGA
Molecule: ribosomal RNA, 1050 nt
Filed under: Escherichia coli
Lineage: Bacteria; Pseudomonadati; Pseudomonadota; Gammaproteobacteria; Enterobacterales; Enterobacteriaceae
Description: partial 23S ribosomal RNA
Rfam family: Bacterial large subunit ribosomal RNA
Source: RNAcentral